This 440-nucleotide ribosomal RNA is filed under the name uncultured bacterium. Its description in RNAcentral is "partial 16S ribosomal RNA". It matches the Rfam family "Bacterial small subunit ribosomal RNA", at positions 338 to 795 of the family's 1533-position model. The record is from RNAcentral.
CCUACGGGAGGCAGCAGUGGGGGAUAUUGCACAAUGGGGGGAACCCUGAUGCAGCGACGCCGCGUGGGUGAAGAAGCGCCUCGGCGCGUAAAGCCCUGUCAGCAGGGAAGAAAAUGACGGUACCUGAAGAAGAAGCCCCGGCUAACUCCGUGCCAGCAGCCGCGGUAAUACGUAGGGGGCAAGCGUUAUCCGGAUGUACUGGGUGUAAGGGGGGCGCAGACGGCGAUGCAAGCCAGGAGUGAAAGCCCGGGGCCCAACCCCGGGACUGCUCUUGGAACUGCGGGGCUGGAGUGCAGGAGGGGCAGGCGGAAUUCCUGGUGUAGCGGUGAAAUGCGUAGAUAUCAGGAGGAACACCGGUGGCGAAGGCGGCCUGCUGGACUGCAACUGACGUUGAGGCCCGAAAGCGUGGGGAGCAAACAGGAUUAGAUACCCCUGUAGUC